This 229-nucleotide ribosomal RNA is filed under the name uncultured bacterium. RNAcentral's name for it is "partial 16S ribosomal RNA". It matches the Rfam family "Bacterial small subunit ribosomal RNA", at positions 568 to 796 of the family's 1533-position model. The record is from RNAcentral.
UCCGUAGGUGGAUAACUAAGUCAGAGGUGAAAUCCUGCAGCUCAACUGUAGAAUUGCCUUUGAUACUGGUUAUCUUGAGUCAUUAUGAAGUGGUUAGAAUGUGUAGUGUAGCGGUGAAAUGCAUAGAUAUUACACAGAAUACCGAUUGCGAAGGCAGAUCACUAAUAAUGUACUGACACUGAGGGACGAAAGCGUGGGGAGCGAACAGGAUUAGAUACCCUGGUAGUCC